Molecule: long non-coding RNA, 1876 nt
Filed under: Rattus norvegicus (Norway rat)
Lineage: Eukaryota; Metazoa; Chordata; Mammalia; Rodentia; Muridae
Description: long non-coding RNA NONRATT006311
Source: RNAcentral
UCCCGCACUCGUUCUCGCUCGAGGUCGACCUCCAAGUCCAGAUCUGCCCGAAGAUCCAAGUCCAAGUCCUCGUCGGUCUCCAGAUCCCGCUCGAGGUCCAGGUCCAGGUCGCGAUCCAGAAGUCCUCCGCCUGUGUCGAAGAGAGAGUCCAAGUCUAGGUCGCGGUCCAAGAGCCCACCCAAGUCUCCAGAAGAAGAGGGAGCGGUUUCAUCUUAAGAGAAUGGUAAUGUCUGCGGGGAUCUGAGACACGCCCUAACUCCCGAGGGGUAUGGUGUAGGUUUUUUGAGUCGUGUUAGCAUAAAAGAGACUCCUGAUGUUAAGAGUGCUACUACUCUGAAGUUAUUCGGCUUUGGGAGUGAUGCUGAAGAGGGGUCUGCAGAGAGGAUUGUGUAAAGCUUAGAUAGUAAUGGCUGUUUCAUUCUGUUUGAGACCUAUUAAUGAAAAUGACUAUUUCUUGCUGUUUUUAUCCAACGUCUGCAUUUUCCCCCUUUAAAGCUGCGGUCUCCUGUUUGAUAAAAGAAUAUUGGCCAGUAUUGCAGAUUUUAACUGAUUUGGCUGAUCCUCCAGGGACCAGUUUCUGUGGGCGUGUAUUGGAGCAGGUUUGUCUUUAAAUGUUAAAGAUGCACUAUCCUCAUAGAGAAAAGCAAUCAGUGCAACUGCUGUUGUGCUGCCUGGGACUUCUUACUCUAGUGGAUGAGGCAAAGGAAUUGCAAUUAAGGAGCAAUGAACUUUUGGAACCCCAAAAGAAAGUUACAGGUAUUGAUCCGCACUGGGUGGGGAAAGGAUAGUGUGUCUUUAACUCUAAAAUUGUUUGGUCCUAUUUUUCUUUUUAAAGGAAAGGGCCCUAAGUAGCUGAUUAAGAACAUCCUCAACUGCCAAAUGUUCCAUUCUCAAACAUCUCAAAGGGUAGACUAAUUCUGAGAGCAAGUUUUUGUUUGGAUACAGCCCCACCCUACCCUCUCCCCCCCCCCCUUUUUUUUUUUUCUUUUAAACCAACCCUCCCUUGCCUUUUUUUUUUUUUCUUUUUUCUUUUUGCCUUGGUUAUUUGGCCAAGAAUCACACAUAUCUGAACGUGCUGGUGGUACCCUUUGGAAAAACUCCCAUUUGGGCCUUUUAAAACUGAUAAUGGCCAGGUGGAACCUUCUGUAACCCACUUGUUUCACCAGAGCCUUAGUAAGUACAUGCCUGAUACUGAAACCAAAACCAUGCGCACUUUGGUGCCUUUGUAGUAGUGGAAAGUAACUGAACCUCUUUCUUUUCAAACCUAGAUGGAUCGGCAAGCCGCUUAACAGAGGACUUUGGGGGAAAGGACCACAAACUCAGUCCAUCGGUCCGUGGAAGAGUCCUUGGAACAAGCAACUGGCUAUUAAAAAGGUUAUUUUGUAACAUUUGUCUAACUUUUUACUUGUUUUAAUCUGCCUCAGGUGGCAAACUUCAUUUUAUGUGCCAUUUUGUUGCUGUUAUUCAAAUUUCUUGUAAUUUAGUGAGGUGAGCGACUUCAGAUUUCAUUAUUGGAUUGGAUAUUUGAGGUAAAAUUUCAUUUUUGUUUAUAGUGCUGACUUUUUUUGUUUGAAAUUAAACAGAUUGGUAACCUAAUUUGUGGCCUCCUGACUUAAUAAAGAAACGUGUGCAGCCAUUACAUACAGCCUAAAGCUGUCAGCAGAUUGACUCAACAUUGCCUUCACUCCUUAAAAAUUAGAAACCUAUGAAAGUUGGUGUAAUUUGCUCAUAUAUGUUAUUUACCUUCAGGUCUAAAUGAUAAUCUGAACCCAAAUUUGUAUAAAGACUUUUCAGGUGAAAAGACUUAUUUUUUUUUUAAAGGAUUGUUUACCCGACACAAUUCUAAUCUCUUCUCUUAUGUAUUUUUGUGCACUAG